Molecule: long non-coding RNA, 614 nt
Organism: Rosa chinensis
Lineage: Eukaryota; Viridiplantae; Streptophyta; Magnoliopsida; Rosales; Rosaceae
Exons: 3
Source: RefSeq, a predicted model, not a curated record
AGCUAUAGCUUAAGCAUCAGGAAAAUUGGAACUCACUUGCUUUGACGAUAUAAUGGAACCUGUGCUGGUUGGUGCAAUGGAAUCUUACAAAUGUCAUUAUAAGAUCAGAGUUCGAAUAUCAAGAUUGUGGAGAGCAAAAAGUACAAUACUGACAAAAAUGAUGGUCUGCAAUGCGUUUUGGUUGAUGAAAUGGUAAUUUUCUUACCUGCAAUUAUUUUUAUCUGUUAUGUUCUAUCUCGAUGUUGUGGAAUUGGAAAAUGUCACUAUGUUCCAUUUCAAAUUGUCUCUCUGCAACUGAUUUUUUUUUCUUUUCCAUGUAAUACAGGGUGAUGCAAUUCAUGCAAUUGUAACUGAAUCUGAUUACCACUUGGUUCACAAAAAAUUGCAUCAAGGCAAAGUGUAUGAUAUUGAUCAUUUCUUUACACGAAAAAGCCAAGAGAGUUACAAAAUUGUUGAUCAUUAAGUGCAAGUGUACUUCAAUGCAAAGACUGUCUUUGAACCAGUUGAAGAAAGCUUCCCACCAAUUCCACAACAUCGGUUCUAUUUUGUAGAUUUUGACCAGCUGAGGGCACGCAUUAACAACAAUACAAUUCUCUCAGAUGUUUAUGGCUGUU